Molecule: transfer RNA, 87 nt
Filed under: Ichthyobacterium seriolicida
Lineage: Bacteria; Pseudomonadati; Bacteroidota; Flavobacteriia; Flavobacteriales; Ichthyobacteriaceae
Description: bacterium JBKA-6 tRNA
Rfam family: tRNA
About the family: Transfer RNA (tRNA) molecules are approximately 80 nucleotides in length. Their secondary structure includes four short double-helical elements and three loops (D, anti-codon, and T loops). Further hydrogen bonds mediate the characteristic L-shaped molecular structure. tRNAs have two regions of fundamental functional importance: the anti-codon, which is responsible for specific mRNA codon recognition, and the 3' end, to which the tRNAs corresponding amino acid is attached (by aminoacyl-tRNA synthetases). tRNAs cope with the degeneracy of the genetic code in two manners: having more than one tRNA (with a specific anti-codon) for a particular amino acid; and 'wobble' base-pairing, i.e. permitting non-standard base-pairing at the 3rd anti-codon position.
Source: Rfam by way of RNAcentral
GGAGAGGUGGUCGAGUGGUCUAAGGCGCACGCUUGGAAAGCGUGUAUAUGCGAAAGUGUAUCAAGGGUUCGAAUCCCUUUCUCUCCG